CAGUCCGCGCGCCCGUGCCCAGCUUUCAAGCAGCGAGGAGAGCAGUGGGCGGAGAUUGCCCUGCGCUUCCACACCUUGCCGGCAGAGGACAGGCGAACACAGCAGCGGGAGCGGCGGCCGCGGGAAGCCGGCCCAGGGAGGAGCUGGCCUUGCAGCCUGGGCAAAAUCAGGUCCCUUGGCCUGGCCGACGGCGUCCGGGUGCAGCUCCGUGGCUCUGGGUGGUCGCUGACUUCCGGCCCAGGGGCUUAGGGCCCGCAGUGACCAGGCAAGAUGAGGCUGCAGGCAGGACGCCCAGCUCGGUCGCCCAGGGAACUGCAGCAAAUGCGAGACUCCCAGAGCUGGGGUGCAGGUAGCAUCAGCUGAGGGUGAGAUGCCCCUUCAGUCUCGGUUUGUUUUUUUGUACCAGGGACCUCACAUUUACCAGGCAAGCACAUGAGCCACUGAGCUAAAUCCCUGGCACCUUCUUUUUUUCUUUCUUGGGACAGGGUCUCGGUAUGUAGUUAGUUCAGCCUAACCUUGAACUCACUGUGUAGGCCACGCUGGCUUUGAACUCAAGGCACUCCUCCUGCCUCAGCCUCCUGAGUGUUGCUGAGAUGACAGAUGUGCGUCACCACACCUGGCUGUCAGCCUUGCCCCUGGCAGUGAUCCCAAAGGAUCUGGGUCUAAUCUAGCAAAGGUGAGGGAAAUGGGCAAGGGCAUCCUCUUUCGUUUAUUCCUGAACUCAGCAAACACAGCCCCAUCCCCUCCUUUGCUGAGCCCUGCUAAAUGUACACAUUAUGGCUUUUGGGGGGUUCCCACCGAAGAUAGAGGCCCUCAGAGGGCUCAAGGCAUGGGAGGCUGUGGGAAGCGGGAGCGGGCAGCUUUGACCAAGAAGCUGAUGUCUGGAUCCCCCACCUUGCCUGAAGUCAAAGGUGGAGGAGCUGAGGAGCAGGUGACAACCCAGAGUCACACAGCCACAGCCCAGGACUCCUAAGCUCUGACUCCCCCACAAGCUGCCUUGGGGCCUAGGGCUCUGGGAGGGCCCGGAAGUGGGAUGUGUCAUCAGGUGGCUUCUCUAUCCCCAGCUCUGCUGGCACAGCUGCCACCUGCAGGGCCUUGCCCACUGCUGACCUAGAUUUCUCAGCCACACCGUCAACACCUCCAAGGCAGGGCACAGCAUGGCUCUUUGGAGCCCAAACAGCCCUGCACAGUGACCCAGCUUCCACCUCGGGGCAGGGUGGGGCCAGAGCCCAGUGCUGUACUGGCUACCUGGUGCCAAGAGGCCAUCCUGGGGAUCCAGUGUGGUUCCUGUGUCCCCUUUCAGUGCUGGGAAGGGCAGACCCAAGGACGGUGCUCAGGACCCCUGUGAAGCAGCUCCCCAAGACCCCUGCACGAGGGGUGCACUGUGUGUGAGGUCCAUUGCUUCUGACUCUUGCAGGUUGCUACUCAGGACUCAGAGCAAUAGGGGUUCCUGGGGCUCCCUGUCCAGUCUCAGGGUCCUUCUCUCCUGUUUUCCUGGGCUAACUGGACCUCCUUGUCCUUCCAGUGUAUCCAGGCCAGCUGAUCAUGCAGCCACGCAUCCCAGAGAGCUCUUGGCGACAUGCAGCAGCCCGUACCCAUCUGACACCCACUCCAGGUGGGACUUGGGGCUGAGCCAGGGCACCAAGGGACAGCGGUUCAGACAGCUGGGUGUUCCCCACUAAGAACAAGAUGGGGCCUGGAGAGUGCAGGGUGCUGGCCAUCAGGGGAAGGACUCUCUGUCCCCAAGAUGCUGCUGCUGGUUCCCCCUAGCCAGGGGACUUAGGCACACGUCUCUCUGAGGUCCUUUGAAGCCAGGAAAUGAUGUGGCCUUAAUUUCUCAUGGAGGAAGGAGCGUUUACACCAGGUAUGGUGAUGCACAGCUGUGCCGUCAGUGUAGACACCCAGCCGGAAGUCCUGGGCACACACCUGGCUGUAAGAGUGGGCUGACCCAGGCCCAGGGCUCAUACAGUACCUGGCAGGGACAGCUGACUUGUGCUGGACCCAGGCAGCCACUCCGACACCCACACACUCAGUGUCCAGCUGUGAAAACCCUGGGAAUCAGGUUACUAGGCCACCUUCUGAACUUCCAGAGGAAAUGUGAUGGUCACCCGAGGGCCAGGCUAGAGACAUCAUCUCCCUGCACUACACUUCCUCAUCCUAACUGCACCCCAAGCUGCAGAAUCAGAGCAACCUUGGUCCCUAGGGUCUGGUCUGGAGGGGGGUACUGUGAAGCAGCUCCCCGAGACCCCUGCAAUUGCCUUCUAGGCUAAGGGACAGGCUCCUUACGGAAUUGGGAUAGAGAAGAGCAGGACAAGGGGGCCAGUAGCGGGGUCCCCACUGCUGGAGAGACAAAAAGUUGCAUGUGUUGGCCAGAUCUUGGGAUACUCACCCCAACACCCCAAAAUGGCCUCAGCUGGCCAUACCCCACCCUCUGAGCUCAGCCCCCAGUGUGCCCCAAGUUCUUAUGUUGAACCCUAAUCCUUGAUCCGAUCAUGUUAAACCAUAAUCCUUGAUGCAAUGAAGGUGAGGUCUUUAGAACCAAGAAGAGAGGCCACAGCUGACACCAAAAGUGUUGCCACCUUGACCCGCCUGCACUCCAAGAAAAAGCUGCUAAUGUUUACGGACACCCCAUUUAUGGUAUCUCGUUAAAGCAGCCUAAACAGAUGAAGACUAAGCAGACCAAGCCUGCCUGUCAUCCUAGCACUUGGGAGGCUGAGGCAAGAGAAUCACUGUGAAUUUGAACCCAGCCUGGGAUACAAUAGUGAAUUAAACCAGGCAUGGUGGGGCCUGUAAUCCCAGCACUUGGGAGUCUGAGGCCAGCCUGGGCUACACACUGAGUUGAAGGCCAGCCUACACUACACAGCAAGACCCUCUCUCAAAAAUAAAUAAAGACAAAAUGGGAUGGACCACUGUCUUAGCGCACCUAUGGUCCUCUAACCAGAUACCUGACCCUGUGCAAGUGAUAAAAGGGUAGAGGUGGCUUGAUUCCUAAGGCUGGGAGCCCGAGAUUGAGGUGUCCACCUCUGGUGAGGGCUUCCAGCUCCACUGUCCCGUGUGCGAGGGCAGCAGAAUGUGCAAGUGCAAGAGAAAGGGGCCGAACUUGUCCGUUAUCAGCAGCCAGUUCUGCAAGGAAGCCCCCCCACCCCCCAGUGCUAGCAUCGAUCCCUCUUAAGGGCGGAACCCCAGCUCCAAUCACUUCUUCAACCCUCGGUACCCUCACGUAGGAAAUUCAGUUCCCAGCACAGGGAUUUGGGGUUCACCUGCCAACUCCAGCAGCCCUGUUGGGAUUCAAAUGGGGCCCCUCUGAAUUUGGGGGGGAGGGUGCUGCUUGGGUGCUGUUAAGAGGGAGCCCUUUAAAGGGAAUCAGGCUAAGAGGCCUCCUCUGUUACUGAUGGGAUGAAGGCCUGUAUAGAAGAAUGUGAUGGUGCACCCCCGUGAUCCCAGCUCUCUGGAAGGCUGAAGCAGGAGGAUUGCAAGUUCCAGCCUCGCCUGGGCGAUUUAGUGAUUCAACAAGAAUCUGUGUCAAAGAAAGAAAAGGAAAAGGGCUGGGGCUGUAGCUGAGUGCAAAGACUCCACAUUCAAUCUCUAUUACAGAAAAAAAAUGUUUGAAAAGAGGCUUCUUUAUUGCCUGACUGGCUCACCUUCUACCUCCAGCCAUGUGGACAUACAGCUUUCUGCAUCGGACAGAUAGACAGGCCUGCUGGGGUCCUGCUCUUGAUCUUGGGCCUUAGGGUCGCCAAGUCUGGGGUCGACUUCCAUGGACCUGGGACAAGUGCACCCUGUGCUGCUUGGCAACUGGCAGAUCCAUACAGAGCCUCCCUGAUGCCCCCCUCGGCUUGGAGCUCCCCAAGGAAGUGCCAGGUGACAGACACAUCCGCUGGGAAGUGGGUGACAUCUUGAGCCCUUGGGCAUGGGUCCCUGCUGUCUUCCUGGCCUCUCCUCUACCUAGGGUCCCCGUGGGCCCCGGUCACAGAUGCCCUUCUGGUGCCCACCUUGUCUUCCCUGACUAGCCUCAGCUCUGUAGAUGUGUUGGGGUUCUUUAAGGGCCACACCCCUGUGCCCUGCUGCUCUAUAACCUCUGACCCCAGUGCCCCAGGGCUUCCAGGGACUACGGGACUAGGUGAAGUGGCACAGUCUACAGUCCCAGGUGGUAGGUCUCCCAGACACCAAGCCCUCCCAGGCAGAGCCCAGGGGCAUCUCUACUUCCAGGCUGUGUGGCAUCGAGCAAGUUACUCAACCUCUCUGGAAGAGAAAACAAGCAAUACCUGCCUGGUGAUUACAAGGAGGAUCGCAUUGUCCUGGGCCAGCAUUGCACAAGGGAGCUCAGAACUGCGACUGAUGUCCCCUCCCCUGAGACGAGGGGGAACUGAAACCCGAGGCGAGGGACCCACCCAUCCACCUAACGCGGAGUCACCCUGGUCGCCUCCCUCCUCCUGAAAAUCCUGGGGGGCAGCGGGGGGUGGGGGCACUCACAGUCCUGGUUCAGCGCCUGGCUAGGGAGCAAAAACAGAGGGCCCAGCUGGCCUUCCCUCGGCAGAGGAGGCGUCUCGGUGGGUGUGACAUUCCUGAGUCUCGGGCGCGAUUCAAUCCCUUGAAGGGCGGCCACCAAGCAGGCUCCCCGUCCGCAACAGGAGUCUCGGCUUCGCCCACCUAAAGGAGGUGGAUGCCUGGAAGUGGUCGCCGGAAGACCGAGGCGAUGGGCGUGGCUUGGUGUGGGCGUGGCAGGUGGGCGGCAUCUGCUCUGCUGCACAUGCGCAGAACAGACACCUUACCCGCACACCUACAGCGCCUUCCUACAGCCUGGUUCUCCAUCCUUCGUUUAAGGCUCUGGGAUGCCUCUUGCUCCGGUUGUUGGCUCUCCGUGCUCGAGCUUGUUAGGGUAGAGGUGACGCCACGUGGUGACUGACACAUCUGCUGGUGACAGAGUAGGUGCCAGUGAGUGCUGGCACCAGGAGCGGUGGAGGGAUAGGGCAAUGGGCCGCCUCCCUAUUUAUUUAACAUUAAUACUUUCACUGGAGAUGUCCAUAAUGUGGGCUGCAAAACACUCUCUGUAAAGAAAAAAAAAAAGCCACUUACACGACCAUUGAAAUAACCUCUUCUGGGCAUGGUACUGCACGCCCGUAAUUCCAGCACUUGGAAGGCUGAGGCAGGAGGAUCACUGCGUGUUCAAGGCCAGCCUGGGUUACAGAGUGAGUUCAAGGCCAGCCGGAACUGCAUUAGUGAGACCUUGUCUCAGACAAAAAUAAAAUGAAGCUGCUUUCAAAAGCCA
Molecule: long non-coding RNA, 5269 nt
Organism: Cavia porcellus (domestic guinea pig)
Lineage: Eukaryota; Metazoa; Chordata; Mammalia; Rodentia; Caviidae
Exons: 2
Source: RefSeq, a predicted model, not a curated record